RNAcentral lists this ribosomal RNA (441 nucleotides) under uncultured bacterium. Its description in RNAcentral is "bacterial SSU rRNA". It matches the Rfam family "Bacterial small subunit ribosomal RNA", at positions 903 to 1333 of the family's 1533-position model. The record is from RNAcentral.
CGGCCGCGUCGACAAAGGAAUUGACGGGGGCCCGCACAAGCGGAGGAACAUGUGGUUUAAUUCGAUGAUACGCGAGGAACCUUACCCGGGCUUAAAUUGCAGACGAAUUACUUGGAAACAGGUAAGCCGCAAGGCGUCUGUGAAGGUGCUGCAUGGUUGUCGUCAGCUCGUGCCGUGAGGUGUCGGCUUAAGUGCCAUAACGAGCGCAACCCUCGUGGUCAGUUACUAACAGGUUAAGCUGAGGACUCUGACGGGACUGCCAUCGUAAGAUGUGAGGAAGGUGGGGAUGACGUCAAAUCAGCACGGCCCUUACGUCCGGGGCUACACACGUGUUACAAGUGGGGGGUACAGAAGGCUGCUACCUGGCGACAGGAUGCCAAUCUCUAAAACCUCUCUCAGUUCGGACUGGAGUCUGCAACCCGACUCCACGAAGCUGGAUUC